Molecule: small nucleolar RNA, 83 nt
Organism: Hyla sarda
Lineage: Eukaryota; Metazoa; Chordata; Amphibia; Anura; Hylidae
Product: small nucleolar RNA SNORD121A
Exons: 1
Source: RefSeq, a predicted model, not a curated record
AUCCAGUACACAAUGAUGUUCAUUUUUCCAAGCACAUAUCUGAACGGUGUAUGUGGACAACAAUGAUUCUGAGUGAUCUGGAU